This is a non-coding RNA of Pelobates cultripes (western spadefoot toad), 490 nucleotides long. NCBI's taxonomy places the organism in Eukaryota, Metazoa, Chordata, Amphibia, Anura, Pelobatidae. The record is from the annotation of a GenBank genome assembly.
CCCAGAGAGCAGGAACAGGAACAAAUCAAGCUAUUGCAAGAGCUUCCUCUGGGGAGUAAGUGAUUAUAGCAAUCCCCAGAGUGUAGGUAUCCCUUCCCCCAAACAUGAGCCAAGGCUUAAUGCUGGAACAAGACUAAUUUACUGGCACACAGAACUCACAAUUUAUGCAACACAAAACUCCUCCUCUGGGCCAGGCUAGAUAAUUGAGUUUCUACAAUACACAAAGCUCAAUUAUCUGCUGGCCAGAUAUUAUACAGUUUCAUAAAACACACAGGGACCCCAAAACAUGCAAUAACCCCAUAAAAAGUAUAUCCUUGGAACCGGGGGAUCUGGGUGAACCACAUAUCCAAAAUUCACCCAGAUCCGUUCAGUACUUUGGAAAAUACAGUUUAAUGCAGAUUCUGCAGAACAUAUACAGGCUAAAUGAAAAACAAUCACUGUAUAAUGUGUCCCCUGCUGUAUAGUCCAAAACCACUGCAUGAUGUCUCUG